This 161-nucleotide ribosomal RNA is filed under the name uncultured bacterium. Its description in RNAcentral is "partial 16S ribosomal RNA". It matches the Rfam family "Bacterial small subunit ribosomal RNA", at positions 355 to 507 of the family's 1533-position model. The record is from RNAcentral.
UAGGGAAUCUUCGGCAAUGGACGAAAGUCUGACCGAGCAACGCCGCGUGAGUGAAGAAGGUUUUCGGAUCGUAAAACUCUGUUGGUAGAGAAGAACGUUGGUGAGAGUGGAGAGCUCAUCAAGUGACGGUAACUACCCAGAAAGGGACGGCUAACUACGUG